CUCUGUUUACAGCGCGAGAGUGCAGCCUGUGCCAGGUGUGGGAAAACCCCAGGGACCCCAAACCUCUCACUGCCUCGAGAGGAGCAGCUCAGUGCAGUGGAAAAUUUCAUGGAAGCCAAAAUCCCUGCCUCUUACUGGAUAUGAGGGCCUUUGAGGGGAACAUCCAACCUCUCUGAGCCUCAGUGUCCUCAUCCGCAAAACAGAUAAUAACUCCUCUCUCACAGAGUGUGGAUUCGUUUUUGAGGGCUGCUGUAACAAAGUACCACAGACCAAGUAGCUUAAACAAGUGCCAACGACCUCACAGACACAGGUUGUGGAUAGCAGCAGACAUGGAGGUGGAGGCUGGGCGGCCAGUGAUGCUGUGAGUCAGAAUCAGAAAUUAUGGAAUUCUCCUGGCUGCCCGCUUCAGCAAUCCCUCCACAGCACUUCGGUGGAUGGAAUCUCCCCUUCCUGGAGCAAGUGAGAGAAAGUACCCGGAUGCUUUUUGUGCUGCUCUCCUUUUUUCCACAUGGUUACUAAAGGU
This 523-nucleotide long non-coding RNA is filed under the name Homo sapiens (human). RNAcentral describes it as "HSALNT0069595". Lineage: Eukaryota; Metazoa; Chordata; Mammalia; Primates; Hominidae. The record is from RNAcentral.